UUGUAACUCUCUGGUUGUUGA
Non-coding RNA from Caenorhabditis elegans, 21 nucleotides. NCBI's taxonomy places the organism in Eukaryota, Metazoa, Nematoda, Chromadorea, Rhabditida, Rhabditidae. The record is from Ensembl.